GAAGGAUGAACUGUUGGUGGAAUUAGC
Molecule: non-coding RNA, 27 nt
Filed under: Bombyx mori (domestic silkworm)
Lineage: Eukaryota; Metazoa; Arthropoda; Insecta; Lepidoptera; Bombycidae
Source: RNAcentral